This 69-nucleotide transfer RNA is filed under the name Marmota monax (woodchuck). Its description in RNAcentral is "tRNA.Val". Lineage: Eukaryota; Metazoa; Chordata; Mammalia; Rodentia; Sciuridae. The record is from RNAcentral.
GUUUGUGGCUGAGUGGUAGAGCACUUGCUUCACAUGUGUGAGGCACUGGGUUGGAUUCUCAGCACUACA